This 519-nucleotide ribosomal RNA is filed under the name uncultured bacterium. Its description in RNAcentral is "bacterial SSU rRNA". It matches the Rfam family "Bacterial small subunit ribosomal RNA", at positions 8 to 524 of the family's 1533-position model. The record is from RNAcentral.
AGAGUUUGAUCUGGCUCAGGACGAACGCUGGCGGCGUGCUUAAUACAUGCAAGUCGAGCGGACCUUUGCCGUUUGUUGCCGGUUUCCGGCGACAAAUGGCAACGGUUAGCGGCGAACGGGUGAGUAACGCGUGGGUAAUCUGCCCCCAAGACCGGGAUAACAGAGCGAAAGCGCUGCUAAUACCGGAUGACCUCUCUUUAUCGCAUGGUGAAGGGAGCAAAGCUACGGCGCUUGGGGAUGAGCCCGCGUUCCAUUAGCUAGUUGGUGAGGUAACAGCUCACCAAGGCGACGAUGGAUAGCCGGCCUGAGAGGGUGACCGGCCACACUGGGACUGAGACACGGCCCAGACUCCUACGGGAGGCAGCAGUAGGGAAUUUUCGGCAAUGGGGGAAACCCUGACCGAGCAGCGCCGCGUGAGGGAUGAAGGCCUUCGGGUCGUAAACCUCUGUCUUCGGGGACGAUAAUGACGGUACCCGAGGAGGAAGCCCCGGCUAACUACGUGCCAGCAGCCGCGGUAAU